RNAcentral lists this small nucleolar RNA (102 nucleotides) under Cavia porcellus (domestic guinea pig). RNAcentral's name for it is "Small nucleolar RNA U13". It matches the Rfam family "Small nucleolar RNA U13". Lineage: Eukaryota; Metazoa; Chordata; Mammalia; Rodentia; Caviidae. The record is from Rfam by way of RNAcentral.
AUCUUCAGGUUCAUAAACGUGAUGAUUGGGUGUUCAUGUCCUAUGCAUGAUAUGUGCCUCCUUUCAAGCUUGUUACGACCUCGGCACAUUACCCAUCUGACA